GGUUGUGGCUCAGUGGUAGAGUACUCGCCUAUCGCCAGUGAGGCAUGGGUUUAAUCCUCAGCACCA
RNAcentral lists this transfer RNA (66 nucleotides) under Marmota monax (woodchuck). RNAcentral describes it as "tRNA.Asp". Lineage: Eukaryota; Metazoa; Chordata; Mammalia; Rodentia; Sciuridae. The record is from RNAcentral.